UACGAAGGGGGCUAGCGUUGUUCGGAAUUACUGGGCGUAAAGCGCACGUAGGCGGAAUGUUAAGUCAGGGGUGAAAUCCCGGGGCUCAACCCCGGAACUGCCUUUGAUACUGGCAUUCUCGAGUCCGGAAGAGGUGAGUGGAAUUCCGAGUGUAGAGGUGAAAUUCGUAGAUAUUCGGAGGAACACCAGUGGCGAAGGCGGGUUGCUGGGCUGAUACUGACGCUGAGGCGCGAAAGCCAGGGGAGCGAACGGG
RNAcentral lists this ribosomal RNA (253 nucleotides) under uncultured bacterium. Its description in RNAcentral is "partial 16S ribosomal RNA". It matches the Rfam family "Bacterial small subunit ribosomal RNA", at positions 524 to 776 of the family's 1533-position model. The record is from RNAcentral.